RNAcentral lists this ribosomal RNA (274 nucleotides) under uncultured bacterium. Its description in RNAcentral is "partial 16S ribosomal RNA". It matches the Rfam family "Bacterial small subunit ribosomal RNA", at positions 523 to 796 of the family's 1533-position model. The record is from RNAcentral.
AUACGGAGGGUGCAAGCGUUACUCGGAAUCACUGGGCGUAAAGCGCGCGCAGGCGGUCUUUUAAGUUGGAUGUGAAAGCCUACGGCUCAACCGUAGAACUGCAUCCAAAACUAUUAGACUAGAGUGUGGGAGAGGAAGAUGGAAUUAGUUGUGUAGGGGUAAAAUCCGUAGAGAUAACUAGGAAUACCAAAAGCGUAGGCAAUCUUCUGGAACACUACUGACGCUGAGGCGCGAAAGCGUGGGGAACAAACAGGAUUAGAUACCCCGGUAGUCC